CCUACGGGAGGCAGCAGUGGGGGAUAUUGCACAAUGGGGGAAACCCUGAUGCAGCGACGCCGCGUGGGCGAAGAAGUCUUUCGGUAUGUAAAGCCCUAUCAGCAGGGAAGAAGAAAUGACGGUACCUGAGUAAGAAGCACCGGCUAAAUACGUGCCAGCAGCCGCGGUAAUACGUAUGGUGCAAGCGUUAUCCGGAUUUACUGGGUGUAAAGGGAGCGCAGGCGGCACGGCAAGCCUGAUGUGAAAGCCCGCGGCCCAACCGCGGGACUGCAUUGGGAACUACCGGGCUGGAGUGCCGGAGAGGUAGGCGGAAUUCCUAGUGUAGCGGUGAAAUGCGUAGAUAUGAGGAGGAACACCAGUGGCGAAGGCAGCCUACUGGACGGGGACUGACGCUGAGGCUCGAAAGCGUGGGGAGCAAACAGGAUUAGAUACCCGAGUAGUC
Molecule: ribosomal RNA, 442 nt
Filed under: uncultured bacterium
Lineage: Bacteria
Description: partial 16S ribosomal RNA
Rfam family: Bacterial small subunit ribosomal RNA
Source: RNAcentral